Molecule: non-coding RNA, 1799 nt
Organism: Camellia sinensis
Lineage: Eukaryota; Viridiplantae; Streptophyta; Magnoliopsida; Ericales; Theaceae
Source: RefSeq, a predicted model, not a curated record
ACACGGAGACUCCAAAGAGCUGAAAAACUCCUUGCGAAGCUAUUGAAGAGAUUUAAUAGAAGGUGCUAAUCGAUUCUCUCCUUCAAAGAUCACAAUCCGGUAAGCUCAUCUUCGAUUCUUCUUCCUUUUCUUUGUUCUGUCCAGAUUUUUUUUUCUCUUUUCUGUCCAUCUUCGAUCUCUUUGUUCUUCGAUUCUUCCACUUCUUUCAUUUUUUUUCCAGAUUUUUUUUUUCUGUUUCUCCGCAGCAAACGAAGAUCGAAGACAUCAUUUUUCAAUUUUUUUUUCCAGAUUUCUGUUUCCUCUUUUUUUCAUUCUUUUUUCUCCAGAUUUUUGUACUCCUUGGCAGCAACCGACCCCCUCCGCUCCAAUGACGACUCCUCUUCUCGUUAGUCAAACACACCUGGAGCUAUUGAACCUUUGCCUGAUGACCUUGUAUCUUCAGAGUGCAUGAAGGACUGCGUCAUGUAAAUGAAAAAGCAUAUACACCUAUGCUAGUUUCUAUAGGGCCUUACCACCACGGUCACCCUAAACUACUUCCUAUGGAAAAACAUAAAUAGCGUUAUUUGGAACUGCUUCUUCAACGUAACAAUCAGAGAAAGGAGGAGUACUUAGAUUCCAUGAAGAAGUUAGAAGAAAGAGCUCGCAAGUAUUAUGCGAAUCCCAUUGACCACCUCAACAGUGAUGAGUUCGUGAAAAUGAUGUUAAAUGAUGCUUGCUUUGUUAUUGAGUUUCUUGUUGGUAUUCAUGAGUAUUUUCUUGUUAAGCAUCAACAUCAACUAUGACAACAAGGACAAUGAUUACAAGGUGUGAGUGAUAACACUAUUGUCAAAGUAUCAUGGAUAAGAAUGCACAUUUGUCAUGACUUGAUGCUGCUUGAAAACCAACUUCCAUUCUUUCUUCUAUCUGAAUUUUAUAGCAUGAGUUGUAGGAGGACUGAAAAUCCAAACUAGAAGCAUCCCACCCUCAUUGAGCUUGCUAAGUAUCCUAUCAAUCGGAUGCUACCAGGAAGAGACAAAAUCCAAUUUGAAAAUCAACAUUUCAAUGAAAGCAAGCAUUUUCUUGACUUGGUACAUAAUGUUUGUCAUCCUUGUCUCACAAUCAAUGCAGAGCACUCCUCCACCAGGGCCCAUAAGGAAACUUGCCCUAAAAUGCCCUGUGUGAUAGAGCUUGAGGAGGCUGGUGUCACGUUCGAGGAGCAUAAGGAGGUCAGCAUGUUCGAUAUAGUCUUCGAACAUGGUCAUUUUAAAAUACCAAAGUUUGAGGUUUGUGAUUCGACAGAAAUAUUCUUCCGUAACAUCAUUGCCUACGAGCAACAUUCCUCAGAUGACGAACCCAAAUAUUUCACCGAUUAUACAUUCUUCAUGGAUUAUCAAAUCCAAAGAAGAAGUGAACAAACUUCGUCGCAAUAAAGUUAUUGACAACAUGCUUGGUGAUGACGAGGUGGCGCUUAUGUUCAAAAACUUGGGCAAAGGAAAAAUCAUUUUGCAGCAUUUCUAUUACGCUGAACUAUGCAGCAAAGUGAAUGCUCAUUGCGAGACAUGGUGGCACAGAGGAGUAGCGACAUUGAAGCGUGAUUACUUCAAAAAUAUGUGGGUUACUGUUGCCACUUUUGCAGCUGCUUUUCUCCUCCUCCUCACUCUCACACAGACUGUCAUUUCCGUAAUUACUAUGCUUUCUUCGUUGUCCCCACGUUGAUGUUAUUCAAAAACUCUACAAGAACAGCAUUUAUGUUUCAGAUUUUAUUCGUAUCUAUAAUUGUGAAUAUGUUUUUUUAAUAUCAGUACACUUUGUAUACAAAA